AGAAUCAACGCUGGCGGCGUGCCUAACACAUGCAAGUCGAACGAGAAAGUGGAGCAAUCCAUGAGUAAAGUGGCGACCGGGUGAGUAACACGUGACUAACCUACCUUCGAGUGGGGGAUAACCUAGGGAAACCUGGGCUAAUACCGCAUAACAUCUUUGGAGUGGAAAUUCUGGAGACCAAAGGAGCAAUUCGCUUGAAGAGGGGGUCGCGGCUGAUUAGCUAGUUGGCGGGGUAAUGGCCCACCAAGGCUUUGAUCGGUA
RNAcentral lists this ribosomal RNA (261 nucleotides) under uncultured bacterium. Its description in RNAcentral is "partial small subunit ribosomal RNA". It matches the Rfam family "Bacterial small subunit ribosomal RNA", at positions 26 to 285 of the family's 1533-position model. The record is from RNAcentral.